AGCAGCAGCAUAGCACAGUAGUAGUGCCCAAGUAGUAUGAACUGCAGCCGGCUUUUACUCGACUCACGCUCGUACCGGCUCGAUAGUGCCAGCAUAAUAUUGUCGUCUACGAGGCGUCAUUGCUAUUACUACUACUGAUAUUAGGGGGGGCUAACGCCACCGCCGCCGCUGACUCCUCCACCUCCACGCGCCGUUCGUCGUGUUUUCGACGCUGUUCGUUGCACGCGCCUGCCUCUCUCUCUCUAUAAGAGAAUAGAUAUCGCUUUACAAAAUAGCUAUAUAUAGUUGUGACGAGCGAGUGAACUAAACAACACACAUAUUAUAUCUUAUAAAAUAAAGCGGACGUAACGUAAUCAGUGAAGUAUAUACGGUGACUCCGAACGCGAACUCCAUUGUGCCUCGCGAGCUCCGAAAAAGAGACGUCGUACAGUGUCGUGUGUAGUAUCGUCGUACCCGCGCAUACACACACACACAUAUACAUUCGUAUAUAUCAUCAUAUAUAUAAUCCGUUUUGUGGCCGCCGUCUGUGCGUCUGUGCGUGACAAAGGGCGCGCGCGAAUACAUACAUACGCACGCACACAAGAGAGACUUGGUCAGUGCUCAUAUAUUCACCGACACACGUACUGGAAUUAUACAUAUAUACGGAGCGCGCCCAUAUACGCACACAAGGAGCAGAGCUCCAUAUAAGCAUCAGCAGCAGUCUUGACUCACGCAAACUACUUACGUUACUACUACUAUCCGCGCGCUCUUCGUCGUGCGUGCGCGUUGUUAUUCCGCGGCAGUCUCUCUCUCUCGCUCUGUCGAGUGCGCGCGUGAGUAGUGUUCAGUCUUCGCCCGCCGCGGACAAGAAGAGGAAGUGUGUUGUGUGCCCCGCUGCUGCACGCGUAUAUGUGUGUCUGUGCUUCUCGUCGUCGUCGUGUGUUGUGCGCGCAGCGGACUCUCAACAAACUCAAGCCGGCUUUUUACAUAUAAAUACUGCACGCGCCUACACUGAAGAUCGGAUAGGUCGCCCGAUCAAUAAAUAAACGUGUGCACGCAGUGGAGACGCUUUUCAAAAGACGUUCACAGCCUGCCCUUUGAUAUACUAUACAAGAAUCUGCCGCGCGAGUAGCUGCAUAAAGCUACGAGGAAAAACGAAUUCAGCGAAGUGCCCUUGACAAAAGGAAGAAACUGCGCGUAGCGCACCUCGUACAUUUUCAAUUGUCAAUUCGAACGCGAGGUACACGUCUCGCAACAGCAUCAACAUGUCGACGGAAAACAGCACCACGGCCCAACUGAACGGCACGUCGGCGUCAGCGGCCUCGUCGAACACGAACGGUCUGAAGGCGCCGACGCUGUCGAGUUUCAGCAGCAGCGCCUCGUCGACUCGCACCACCACGAACUCGUCGUUCCUCUACAGCGGCAACUCGCUGCUGGGCUCGGCCGCCACGGCCGGCAUCGGCGCGUCCUCGCGAACGGAAAAGAUCACCGCGAGACAGGCGCCGCCGCCCACGCUGCCCAAGUACACCUCGAGCUUCAAUGCGGGCAGCAACGGCACGGGCUCGGCGAUCGAUCGCCUGGCCAAGGAACGCGAGGCCGGCGCCGGUAGUUACAGACUGAGCAGCCUCGACAGGCUCGCCAUGAGGCAGAGGAACUUCGACGGGGACGCCUCAAAGACCAACGGGGAUGCUAAUUCGCUCCAGACGAAGCGCGACCUGUUCUUCAAAGGCGAGAGCACAUCGCCGUCGUCGGGCGCGCCCACGGUGCCUUCGGUGCCGCCGCCCCAGCCGCCUACAGCCACGCCGGCCUCGACGACCAACAACUCGGCCGCGACGGCGCCCCCACCGCCAUCGGGCCCGGCCAAAACUCGCCUGACCUCGGUGCAGGCCCUGAACAACAGCCAGGUCGAUGGCUACGAGGACAGCAACAAGCGCGAGGCCGCCCGCGAGGCUGCCGCCCGAGAGGCCGCCGCGACGGCCGCGGCCAACAACACUGCCACGGUGGUGGCGGCCUCGCCCCGGCCCGCCAUACCGGCCAAACCCAAAGAGCUCGACGGCUACGUGGGCUUCGCGAAUCUGCCCAAUCAGGUCUACAGAAAAGCCGUGAAAAGAGGAUUCGACUUUACGCUCAUGGUUGUUGGUGAAUCGGGUCUAGGAAAAUCAACGCUGAUCAAUUCACUCUUCCUCACGGACAUCUACAGCGCCGAGCAUCCAGGCCCAAGUCUGAGAAUAAAGAAAACCGUGGCCGUCGAGACGAGCAAGGUACUGCUCAAAGAAAAUGGUGUCAAUCUCACUCUCACGAUCGUCGACACGCCCGGCUUCGGCGACGCCGUGGACAAUAGCAAUUGCUGGCAUCCGGUAAUUGAUUACAUUGAAAACAAAUAUGAAGAGUUUUUGAACGCCGAGUCUCGAGUGGUACGUCGUCAAAUCCCGGACAGUCGAGUUCACUGCUGCUUAUAUUUCGUCGCACCCUCUGGCCAUGGUCUGAAACCCCUCGAUGUUGAAUUCAUGCAGCGACUUCACGACAAAGUCAACAUCAUACCAGUCAUUGCCAAGGCUGACACCAUGACACCUGACGAGUGUGCUUACUUUAAAAAACAGAUCUUAAACGAAAUAGCACAGCACAAAAUAAAGAUCUACGAAUUCCCAGAAACCGAAGUAGAGGAAGAAGAUAGCAACAAAGUAAACAAACACCUUCGAGAUAGAGUACCUUUUGCAAUCGUCGGUGCUAACACAGUCAUUGAACAUGACGGAAAGAAAGUGCGUGGUAGAAAAUAUCCUUGGGGAGUGGUCGAAGUUGAAAAUUUGGAGCACAACGACUUCAUUGCUUUACGGGAUAUGAUUGUUCGUACACACUUGCAAGAUUUGAAGGAUGUUACAAACAAUGUUCACUAUGAAAAUUACAGAUGUCGCACAUUAGCGGGUCUUAGUGUUGAUGGCAAACCUUCAAGAGGAUCUAACAAGAACCCGCUUGCUCAGUUGGAAGAAGAAAAACGAGAACACGAAAACAAAAUGAAAAAAAUGGAAAUAGACAUGGAGCAAGUGUUUGAGAUGAAAGUUCGCGAAAAGAAGCAGAAGCUUAAAGAUUUAGAAUCAGAUCUGCAACGAAGGCACGAGCAAAUGCGUCGUUCUUUGGAUCAGCAAGCAAAAGAACUCGAAGAAAAAAGACGAGCAUUUGAAUCUGAAAGGCAUGCAUGGGAACAACAGACUGGUCAUAGCAUUGAAGAAUUACGACGCAGAAGCCUUGAAGCUACUUCAAAAGAAAAACAAGAUGGUCUUUCUUCAAGAAAUGGUCAUAUUGCCAGGAAACUAAGUUUUGUUUAAUUCAUUGUACAUUUAGAAAUACAUUUUAAAAAAUGAAAUUUAAAGUUUAAAAAAUUGUUAUCAAUAACAAAAUUUCUACACUAUCGACUGUACACUAUUUCUCUGAUAAUUAAUGUUAUGUGCUGCCCCCUCAGGUGAACGGUGGAUGGCAAGAAGAGUAAGAAGAAGGGUCUCUUUUAAAUCGUCGAAAGACAGCAUAAUACUUUUUCCAAAGAUCCUUUGACUUCGGACAUCAAGGUCAUACACCUUGAAGUAAAUGAACUAAGAUCAUAACUUUUUUGUAUUUAUGUAUAGAAAAAAAGCCUUCAAUUUUUUAUUAUAAAUUUAUGUUCAUAUACAGUAAUCAUAAAGCUUUUAGGCUCUUUUGAGUGCAGCUCUGUUCCAAUUAUAAUUAAAUGUAAUGUUAAGUUUAAUAAAAAUUAGUUAACGUUGAAUUGAACAUCACAGUUAAAGGACUUUGAUAUAAAUACAUGUAAUCGAUCGAGAUCUUACGCGAGUAUAAUUUUUAUAAUGUGUUUCCCGUCGUAAGAAAGGCUUCAACUUUUUCUAUACAAAAAUCAAAAUUUUAAAUUUUCUCCUACGAUAGUUCGACGCUUUUGUCGAUUAUAAAAAUUAUAUUUUUUAAAUAUAUACGUAACGAAUGACAUUAUAAUAGAGAUCAAAUCAAUUUAUGAACUCUUUUGUAUUUAUCUACUGCAUCAUCUUUGUUCAUAAAGCUUUUAGCUAUGACAUGUCAAUUUGUGCAUUGUUUAGGUAUAUCAAAUAAUUAUUUUAACAAUUUACUUUAGUUACCAUUAUACAAUCAGUGCCAUUAUUUGAUUCAUUUAAUAUGAUGUCAUUUUUGUAAAAUCAUGCUUUGUGCCAAAAUAUGUAAAAUAUGAGUGUUUUGAUAUCGAUACUGAAUGUAAUGAUUAAUUUAGUCAAACAGCUAUAAUUUUUGUCUGCAAAAAAUUUCAUCAAGAUUUAACAUAUGGCGGCAAAAAAGCUUUCAGCUAUUCGAAAAAGCGAUGGCGCGUAACAAGGUAAAACGGCUCUUCUGUUGAAAUAGGUAAAUAAACCUAUUAGCAUGUACAAAGAUGUCGGAAUCUGACAGAGCAAAAGCAAGAGAGAAUGAACCGAAUCUGGAAACAAUAUUUUUAUCUGAGCAUUUUCCUCUAGCUUUUUAUUACAUGUAUACGUAACAUAAUGAAAUUGGUUAAAAAUUUUGAUAUGUACCUAUAAUUUAUGUUUAAAAUAAUUUGACAAGCGGUUUAGUCCAAUAGAAACUGCACAGUAGUAUAAUACUUGCGUGGAUUUUUAGGCUUGUAUGACUUGUCUAUAUAUGCUUAUAUAUAUAUGUGACGUGGCGACGACUUUCUUUUUUCUCACUCAUUCGUCGCAAUCAUGUUACUGGAUUGAGGUAAAUUUUUCCAUAUAGAAACAUUUUUUGUCUUUGUUGUCACAUUGUUGACAUUCUACAAACUCAUACGAUGGGGUUUUAAAAUAAUUGCAUGUGUACGAGUACAUUACAAAAAUAACGUCGAUUAGUCGUAAAGUAUCAAGUUUGUAUAUUAUAAUUGUAAUUUAUUUCUAUCAGUAUUUCUUUUAUAACGCUCUUUUUAUGUACCUAGAGCUGAAGUCUAAUGAUGCUCUGUUACAGAAUUUGUAAUAACUUUAUUGUGUACAUUAAAAAUGAAGAGAUUUUAUUCUAAUAAAAAGGAAUCAUGAUUAAUAUGUAUUUUAUACCGAAGUAGAUGAAUUAAUAUCGAUAUUAAUAUUAGACUAGAAAUGAUGCUUUUUGAAGAUAAAAAAAUUAAUAAAAUUAUAUGUUAAUUUAGGUACUUAUUUUAAUGUUCCCGUGAAAAUAAGAGAAAUUGUUGUUUUUAUGUAAUUAUUUGAAUCUACAAAAAUAUUUUAAUAUUCAUAAAAGAGUGAGAAAUUUAAAGAAGUAAACAUUAAUUGUAUAUUGUAUAUAAGAAUGUCAUGGAAGCAUACCUGGAAAUUAAAACUGUUUCUAAUAUCUAGUUCUAGGCGUGGUUUUUCAUAAUAAAAAAUCAAAUUUAAGUUGUAAUUGUACUCUUAACAUAUGAAAUAUAAUUUAUUUAUAAAACAACU
Molecule: RNA transcript, 5396 nt
Organism: Trichogramma pretiosum
Lineage: Eukaryota; Metazoa; Arthropoda; Insecta; Hymenoptera; Trichogrammatidae
Gene: pnut
Gene name: septin-7
Exons: 11
Source: RefSeq, a predicted model, not a curated record